GAAACAGUUGAAAAUCAAUAAGGGGGUAACAUGUUUGAUUAACUUUGGAGCAUAAAGUUGAAUGACCAGUUCAAAAUGACUGUCAAAUAACUAUCUGCAUUUAUGUUGUUUUUAAAUGUGACAACUGGUUCUUCUUUUCUUGUUUGGGAAAUGUUACUAAUGUUUAAUUAUUAUUCUGAACCUGCACAUAAUCAAUAAUACUGAACAUGCACACUAAGUCCUAAGGUAAAAACUGUUGAGUAAUACUUGGCAGGGAUUUUUUAAGUUUCAACAGUGGGGAGUUUUCACAUUUGAAAGUCUGAAGAAAAAAACGGUUAGUCUGUGAAUCUUUAUUUUAUUCUGGGAAUUUUAUAACUGUACAAUUUCUUUCAGAUAUUCAAAUCAUUUUAUGGAUCAGUUUAUUUGUGAUUUGAUUUGGGAUUUUGCAACUAUAUUGAAAUAAAUAACAAUUCAAGAAUUAGCUAUAUACUAAAAGAAGGAUGCCAUUGUUUGAUGGAUAUACUUAUAUUCUUUUCACAUACAGGUUAAGGUUUAGGGUAAGGCAUAAGGAACAUUCGGGCUGGCAAUGAGAAGAAAUCGUCCGGUUACGUAUACUGAUAAUAAAACAAGACAAUCACAUUCAUUAAAAGGCCACAUCUUUUCAUUUGACAUUUAUCAGUUGGCCAGAUUUAUGUCAAAAGUUCAAAGCUGGCUUAAAUUGUUGUUUUUGCACCUUUAAAGGUUAGACACCAUUGUUUGGUCUCACAUCUCUUAUGAGUUUACACCUAACAGGAAAGUAAGAAAAGUAAAUGACUCUGUCUACAACUGCUAUUGUAGAGUAAGCUUAUCUCUCUACAAUUUGACAUAAAGUCUUCAUGCUUCCAUUCAUUAUUGAUAAGCCCCAUACCACUAUAGAGCCAUGGCGUGUCUUUGUUCUGGAUGUCAGGAGUCCUACUAUUUGGAAACAAACAAAGUUGUUUGAUUAGUAAUAAUGAAACUAGGCCACGCCAGAAAGCAAAUUGUCCUUGCUGACCAACAGCAGAUCUAAUCUCGUAGAAGGCCUAUCUCUCUAAUUAUUAAACCGAUACCAGAGAGAUUGAUGCUUUGGAAAACACAAUCAAUCCAGGUUUCUACUGAGAAAGGUGGUUUGUGUUGCAAAAUUCAAUAUAAAGAAUUGAAUGGAAAAAUGAAAAAAAGUCUGAAAAUAACAUUUCAUUUGAAAUGUAGAUAAACAACAUAAAGACAUGCACAGAGUAAAAAGUUGGAGAGAUAAGGAGCUGUUCCUGAUUGGAGGAAAUGGGACACGUGACCGUGCUCAUUUACGUGUGGACAGGCAGGUGAGCGUGGGAGAAAAUAGUUUGAGCUAUGUCGCGAACACACCAGCACCUGACGGGAUUAAGAGUCCUGUCGCUUUGCCAGAGCAUCUUCCUUUGAACCAGGAGUCACCACAGGCCGUCGGUCCGCUCACCUGGACGGACGCUCAGUAACCGGAAGAUUCCUCUCUUUUGUUUCCAUCUUAACAGUGUUGGUCCAGAUGUAAGGGCACAGGCCUCAGACCUGAUCAGUACUUCCUCAUCGCCAGCUGUCUGUCACCAUGGUGAUGCAGGUGUUGAUGGCCCCUGCUGUGUCCGUCCUGGUUUCCACCGUGCUGUCGCUGCUCAGCCUGGCUCUGCUGCUGCUGCUGUGUGUCAUCAGGAAGAAAAGGAGGAUGGAGGGAACAUACAGGCCCAGUGCGGAGGAGAGGAAACAGACGGGAUCGGGCGAAAAACCAAGCCUGCCUCUCCCGUUGCCGAAAGAGGAACGCCUCAUAUGACAGACGUUUGGAGAUGGACCCACCCUCUGUCCCUGUGUAUCCUGUGGAUCCAAUCCUCCUGUUCUCUGACGUCUCUGUGCUGCGCUCCUCUAGAAUGAUCUAUGUUUGCCUUUGGCGCCAGAAAAUCUUCAAAAACACUAUUUGUGCUGCACGUUUUUCUUCUUGGGGACAACAAAUACAUAGAUCAGACUUUCAAUCAAAUCCCCCGACUCACUGCAUGGGAAGGGAAAAUAUGUGUCAUCUCAGAUCCUGUUGUAUUGCUUCAUAAAAAUCCCUCACUCCCUUUGUUUUGCCGGAUAAGAAACAUGAGCUGAAGUAUAUUUUGUAUUGUCGAGAAAUGAGUAUAUUUUACUGUACUGUGUGUUCUGUGUAUUUAUAUCUAAAACAUUUAGUGUUUUACACUAUUUCCAGUUAUGAAGGAUAUUGAUUCAAAUGAUUACUGUGAUGCACUUUUAUGUCAAGCUCUAAGAAGCUCAAUUUCUCUAAAUCAGUAUGUGUGGUACGCGAGGUGUUCUAUUAAUAAACCAGGUAUGAAUACCUUUUUUUA
This is a long non-coding RNA of Trematomus bernacchii (emerald rockcod), 2339 nucleotides long. RefSeq lists it as uncharacterized. NCBI's taxonomy places the organism in Eukaryota, Metazoa, Chordata, Actinopteri, Perciformes, Nototheniidae. The record is from RefSeq and is a predicted model, not a curated record. The transcript has 3 exons.